This 468-nucleotide ribosomal RNA is filed under the name uncultured bacterium. RNAcentral's name for it is "partial 16S ribosomal RNA". It matches the Rfam family "Bacterial small subunit ribosomal RNA", at positions 28 to 507 of the family's 1533-position model. The record is from RNAcentral.
GACGAACGCUGGCGGCGUGCUUAACACAUGCAAGUCGAACGGAAAGGCCCUGCUUUUGUGGGGUGCUCGAGUGGCGAACGGGUGAGUAACACGUGAGUAACCUGCCCUUGACUUUGGGAUAACUUCAGGAAACUGGGGCUAAUACCGGAUAGGAGCUCCUGCUGCAUGGUGGGGGUUGGAAAGUUUCGGCGGUUGGGGAUGGACUGGCGGCUUAUCAGCUUGUUGGUGUGGUAGUGGCUGACCAAGGUUUUGACGGGUAGCCGGCCUGAGAGGGUGACCGGCCACAUGGGGACUGAGAUACGGCCCAGAAUCCUACGGGAGGCAGCAGUGGGGAAUAUUGCACAAUGGGCGGAAGCCUGAUGCAGCAACGCCGCGUGCGGGAUGACGGCCUUCGGGUUGUAAACCGCUUUCGCCUGUGACGAAGCGUGAGUGACGGUAAUGGGUAAAGAAGCACCGGCUAACUACGUG